GUCAGUGUGGUUGAGAGGUCCAAGGCGCCAGACUCAAGUGAAAGUGCCUUUUGGGAAUUCUGGUCCUCUAAUGAGGGCGUGGCUUCGAAUCCCACUGCUGAUA
Molecule: transfer RNA, 103 nt
Filed under: Echinococcus granulosus
Lineage: Eukaryota; Metazoa; Platyhelminthes; Cestoda; Cyclophyllidea; Taeniidae
Rfam family: tRNA
About the family: Transfer RNA (tRNA) molecules are approximately 80 nucleotides in length. Their secondary structure includes four short double-helical elements and three loops (D, anti-codon, and T loops).
Source: Rfam by way of RNAcentral